This 759-nucleotide long non-coding RNA is filed under the name Populus trichocarpa (black cottonwood). RNAcentral describes it as "long non-coding RNA (PTRI_LNC001666)". Lineage: Eukaryota; Viridiplantae; Streptophyta; Magnoliopsida; Malpighiales; Salicaceae. The record is from RNAcentral.
UAGGUUUUUGUUUUCCAUCCUCCCGAGGAAUGCUUGAAAAGAUCGAACCAAUAUGUCAGAAUAUUUGUGUACCUGUAGCAGCUUCAUUUAUUAGUUUACCACUUGUGUUUUUUCAAAAUUGAAAUCACUUUUUCAGUUAGAAAAUAAGUGUGCCUGUGAUUAUAAUGUUUUUGUGAUUGUAAUUUUAAAAAAUAAAUUUUUUAGAAAUAUUUUUAAUUGUAGUUUUUAAAAAAUAAAUUUAAAAAAAAUACUUGUUUUAUUAAAAUUAUUGUGGAAUAGAUUUUUUUAUGCAAAAUAAAUAAAAAACUUGUUUUUAUAAAUAAAAAAUAAUUUUUUUAGCUUUCAUAAAAUUAAAGUUUAAAACACACAUAAUUGUAUUAUAUAUCGAGCCCUUUAAAAGAAAACAGAAAUUAUUUAAUUAACCAUAAAGUUUUUUCUCAUGGUUGGUAAAAAACAAGGGCUACCAAACAAGUUUUACGACUUUAAUCAGGUAUUGUUGGACAUAUCUUUGACACGCAUCAUUUUAGCAUUAAUCAAAAUUUAAAAAAAUCAGGUAAUUUCUUUAUCGUUUGUUGAAUCAUGAUUGGCGGCUGAUCAACAAAAUGCUAAAAGUGGUGAUUUUACUUUUACCUUAUUACGAAGCACUAUUUAUUUUAAUAUUAUUUUUUUAAUUUAUAUUUUUUUUUCAAAUCCAAUCUAAUUAUUUAGUAUUUUAUUUGUUAAGGAUUUCACUUUAUUAUUUUUUCAAUUUAUUUUUUA